This 364-nucleotide unclassified non-coding RNA is filed under the name Hevea brasiliensis (rubber tree). The record is from RNAcentral. Lineage: Eukaryota; Viridiplantae; Streptophyta; Magnoliopsida; Malpighiales; Euphorbiaceae.
UGAAGUUUCCACCUACCAAGUCCUGCUAACAAAAACGCCUGUUCCCAGGACUUCCCAGUAGCUUCGAGCAAAGCAGCAUUGCAUGUCUGCAAUUCCACUGAGGCACCGGUAAACAUUGAGGCUGCCUCCUCCCACGCCCUAUUAUGUCCAACGCACAUAACAGUAUGGAUCUCGUCGCAGGAAUAUCUGCAGACAGCUUGCUGAAUAGCUUGCUGAAGAUGCUCAGCAGUCUGUCCAUCCAUGGAUGCAAUUGAAUAGAAGCUUGAAAUGAAAUGGACAUCAGCAUCCAAGAGGUCUGGCACUUGCUCCUGUAUUAUUUUUAGCGUUUCCCUACUCCGUGUCGCAUCGCUAGAUAGAAUGAGCU